Molecule: long non-coding RNA, 5736 nt
Organism: Dreissena polymorpha
Lineage: Eukaryota; Metazoa; Mollusca; Bivalvia; Myida; Dreissenidae
Exons: 3
Source: RefSeq, a predicted model, not a curated record
CCUGGCCUGUGUGAGGCUCUGAAUGGUUCGAACAUCAAGAGACUGAGUCUGAGUGGCGAAAACAGAGGUUUGAGAGUGGAUCAUGCAGAGUCGUUGUCUCAGUCGCUAUCAUCACUUACACAGCUUGAGACGCUUACACUACAUUUGAAUACAUACAUUGCGAUGCAGGUACCACGAUCAUUGAAGUAUUUGAAUAUCUACUCUAAAAAAUUGCUUCCCUCGGAAUUACGGGACAUUGUGGGCAGACUGGCAGCAUGUCCGCAUGCAAUUGAUAUUGAGCUAGAAAUUGGUUGAGCUUCAAGUAUUGAUCCCCCAGAACGAAUCCUACUCCAGGAAUACAUUCUAGUUCAACAGGAACUUGUUUCUCGGCCGAAUGUUGUAGUUAAAAAAUUCCGAACAUAUGAAUCUGAAUCUAAUUCUACGAUGCCGGUACAUUACAUUGAUGGUGUUGAUAACCCUGCUCACUGUGACUUAAGCAUUAAAGAUUAUGCAUAUGACAUAUUCGCUGAAUUAAUGGAAAGAUUCAAAUAUAGUCGAAUUUCAAUUGGACUUCAGAUAAAUCCAGACUCAUUCUUAUUAAUAAGUGUGUGUUGUUGUUUGACAUUUAAUUAAGAUGAAACUAGUGUUAUUGAAUCGUUAUAGUGUUUGUAAUACUUUGUAAAAAUCGAAACUUAUUUUACAUUAUGCGUUCACUGAUGUUGUGUUCAUUCUAUUCAUGCACUUUAGCUAUAACAUUAUGCAAAGUGUGUUGUUGCAUUUCCGACAAGUGUUAUUUGGCAAGCAAAUAUAGUGGAAACAACAAUGUUUCUAUUUUAUAACGAUCUGAACUUAAUUGUAUUAAGUCAAAUGACACGUAUAUGAUUCUGCUCCACAAAUCUUUAAAAGAGAUACAUUCGCCGGAGUUUUUCUGUAACAAUAAUGGCCUCUUAAAAUAAACAAAAUGACGGAAAUUUCGCUCCUCAAUAGUAAACUAUUUGAUAUGUAUUUAUUAAAAUCAAGAUACAUAGGCAGCGAUUCUUCGUGUCUCACUACUAAACGCAAUAAAACGGCAUAAUCACAUUACGUAUAUAUUUUGUGUAAAUGUUUUGUUAUAUGUUUUAAUUUAACGCAUGUCUUUGUUUUCAUGCAAUAAACAAUUUCAACACGGUGUUACAAUUUAAGUAGUGCCCGUUGAAGCAUGAGUAUUUAACUGUACACUUUUCAUUCCGUUGACUUUACCUAUAAAGAGUUCAUGGCAUCAUCGUUUCGAUUGUCUUCCUUUCUACAGACUUCAAGACACUUGGAUUAUUGAAAUAGAUAUAAAGUAUUUUUAUUUGUGUUUUCUGCACAGUGCGUGUCAAAUCCAAAACUUUGAAGAGUCUGGCUGUUUUUGCCUGUUUUGCCAUGUCUGUACGUGACAUUGUUGGCGUUGAUGACACUGCCCACGAUGACCUUAGCGUUAAAGCUGAUGUUUGUUAAAGAUUCUUUGAUUGUAUGAAUGACAUAAAAAUUAAUUGACUUUGUAUACGUCCAGACUCGAUGUAAUAAAUGCGUUUACAUGUGUAUGCUGUUGUUAGGCAUUGUAUUAGUAUAAAGCGAUUGUUUUUAAUGUCCUGAAGUGCAUGUGGCACUUUGUAAUCAUCGAAAAUGUGUUGACGCUAUGUGUCAAAAAUGUGUGUUGUUUUUUGUUUCAUACAUGAAAUUAAUGUAACAGGGUAUUCACUCUGACACUAAUCCUUUUAACAAUACUAACCCAAUCAAGACUGAGAGAAGUUCAGUGUGAGAGAUACUUUGUGAUGUAUGAGUGAGUUUAAUUACUAACAGUGCAUGCUUUUAUUAUGAGAUGAUUUCAUAGUCAUCUAUAUAAUUUUAAAUCAUAACUCAACAUUUGGUCACUUGUUUGUAAAACCUUGUAAGAGGUAGAAGGCUUUUUCCAAUUGCCACUUUCUACAAUAAGUCUUGAGAUCACUGGUGAGUGCAUUAUUCUAUGUUUAUAUAAUUGUAUUUUCUUGAAUUACAUUGUAUUGCAUAUUAUUUAUAUAAUUGUAUUUUCUUGAAUUGUAAUUGUAUUGUAUUGCAUAUUAUUAUGUAUUACAAUGAAUUAUUUAAAGUGUUAUUAUAAUUGUCAUUUGUUAAUUAUAACAUGAUUUUUAUGCCCCCCUUCGAAGAAGAGGGGGUAUAUUGCUUGCUCAUGUCGGUCUGUCGGUCGGUCUGUCCGUCCACCAGGUGGUUGUCAGACGAUAACUAAAGAACGCUUGAGCCUAGGAUCAUGAAUCUUCAUAGGUACAUUGAUCAUGACUUGCAGAUGACCCCUAUUGAUUUUGAGGUCACUAGGUCAAAGGUCAAGGUCACGGUGACCCGAAAUAGUAAAAUGGUUUCCGGAUGAUAACUCAAGAACGCAUACGCCUAGGAUCAUGAAACUUCAUGGGAAGAUUGAUCAUGACUCGCAGAUGACCCCUAUUGAUUUUGAGGUCACUAGGUCAAAGGUCAAGGUCACGGUGACCCGAAAUAGUAAAAUGGUUUCCGGAUGAUAACUAAAGAACGCAUACGCCUAGGAUCAUGAAACUUCAUGGGUAGAUUGAUCAUGACUCGCAGAUGACCCCUAUUAAUUUUGAGGUCACUAGGUCAAAGGUCAAGGUCACGGUGACCCGAAAUAGUAAAAUGGUUUCCGGAUGAUAACUCAAGAACGCAUACGCCUAGGAUCAUGAAACUUCAUGGGAAGAUUGAUCAUGACUCGCAGAUGACCCCUAUUGAUUUUGAGGUCACUAGGUCAAAGGUCAAGGUCACGGUGACCCGAAAUAGUAAAAUGGUUUCCGGAUGAUAACUAAAGAACGCAUACGCCUAGGAUCAUGAAACUUCAUGGGUAGAUUGAUCAUGACUCGCAGAUGACCCCUAUUAAUUUUGAGGUCACUAGGUCAAAGGUCAAGGUCACGGUGACCCGAAAUAGUAAAAUGGUUUCCGGAUGAUAACUCAAGAACGCAUACGCCUAGGAUCUUGAAACUUCAUGGGUAGAUUAAUCAUGACUCGCAGAUGACCCCUAUUGAUUUUGAGGUCACUAGGUCAAAGGUCAAGGUCACGGUGACCCGAAAUAGUAAAAUGGUUUUCGGAUGAUAACUCAAGAACGCAUACGCGUAGGAUCAUGAAACUUCAUAGGUAGAUUGAUCAUGACUUGCAGAUGACCCCUAUUGAUUUUGAGGUCACAAGGUCAAAGGUCAAGGUCACGGUGACCCGAAAUAGUAAAAAGAUUUUCGGAUGAUAACUCAAGAAGGCUUUUGCCUAGGAUCAUGACACUUCAUAGGUACAUUGAUCGUGACUCGCAGAUGACCCCUAUUGAUUUUCAGGUCACUAAGUCAAAGGUCAAGGUCACAGUGAUAAAAAUCGUAUUCACACAAUGGCUGCCACUACAACGGACAGCCCAUAUGGGGGGCAUGCAUGUUUUACAAACAGCCCUUGUUAUUCAUGUUUCAGGCCAUCAUUUACAUCAUUUAUACUUUAUAGUAUUAAAAGCUUGGAACGUAAAACCCAGGUUGCGUUAUAAACUCAAACCCCGGCUUCAUUAAGCUAAAGCAUUAUGCUUUCAUUCUGUGUUGUUGAAUAUACCACUAGUGUUUUUUGACAAAACAAUAGAGUAGACAAAUAAUAUUUCGAUUUUAAAAUGAUCUCAGUCUAAUUUGUAGUGACAUUCAAUGACAAUUUUAUAUUUUUAAUAUACGUCCAUCUUUAAAAGAUACACAUUCACACAAGCUUUGCUGGUCAAUUGAUGGAAUGUUAAAAUAAACAAAUCAUGUCAAUUUAGCUCCGAAAUUGUAAAUAACUUCAGAUGCAUUAGUUCAAAUACACGAAAAAAGAUUAGGCGAUGUUUCUUCUUGCAACAGAGCAGUGUCACACUACUAAACGCAAUAAGACUAUUAAUUACAUUGAGUUAACGUUUUGUGUACAUGGUAUUAAUAUGUACAUAGCUUCAUUCAAUGCUAUCUUUUGUGUUGAGGAAUUAUAUAAUUUAAGAGUUUGAUACAGUCUUACACAUGCACGUUAAAGUAUACGCAAUUAACUGUACAUUUAUCCCGCAAUAUACUGUAAGCAUUUGACUUCAUCUAUUACUAUUGCAUGAUUUCUCAGUUAUGAUUUCCGUUGUUUUCUUUAUAAUUAUCACAACUUGAUUAGUUAAUAUUAAAGAUAUUAAUGUGUGUAUAUUUGAUUUGUGUGCAAAGGGCGUGUCGUUUUGAUUGUCUGUAAUAACUGUACCCUCAAGAAAUGGCCAUUAAAUUACGUUUCAAUAACAAUAACAAAAUGAAAGUAUUUAUUUGUAAAAUGCAUAUAGAUUCAACAGUUUAGAUGCAUUUUCUCACAUAUGUAUAUGUAUGCCCUCCUUCAAAGAAGAGGGGGUAUAUUGCUUUGCUCAUGUCGGUCUGUCGGUCCGUCCACCAGGUGGUUGUCAGACGAUAACUCAAGAACGCUUGGGCCUAGGAUCAUGAAACUUCACAGGUACAUUGAUCAUGACUCGCAGAUGACCCCUAUUGAUUUUGAGGUCACUAGGUCAAAGGUCAAGGUCACGGUGGCCCAAAAUAGUAAAAUGGUUUCCGGAUGAUAACUCAAGAACGCUUACGCCUAGGAUCAUGAAACUACAUUGACCAUGACUCACAGAUGACACCUAUUGAUUUUUAGGUCACAAGGUCGAAGGUCAAGCUCACGUUGACCCGAAAAAGUAAAAUGGUUUCCGGCUGAUUACUCAAGAACGCUUGCGCCUAGGAUCAUGAAACUUCAUAGGUGCAUUGAUCAAGACUCGCAGAUAACCCUUAUCGAUUUUCAGGUCAAUUGGUCAAAGGUCAAGGUCACGGUGACCCAAAACAUUAAAAUGGUUUCCGGAUGAUAGUUCAAGAAUGCUUUCGCCUAGGAUCACAUAACUUCACAGGUACAUUGAUUCUGACUCGCAGAUGAUCCCUAUUGAUUUUCAGGUCACUAGGUCAAAGGUCAAGGUCACAGUGACCCGAAACAAUAAAAUUGUUUCCGGAUGAUAAUUCAAGAACGCUUAUGCCGAGGAUCAUGAAAUAUCAUAUGUACAUUGAUCAUGAUUCGCAGAUGACCCCUAUUGAUAUUUAGGUCACUAGGUCAAAGAUCAAGGUCACGGUGACUCAACUUAGAAAAAAAUGGUUUCCGGAUGAUAACUCAACAACGCUUACAACAAGGAUCAUGAAACUUCAUAGGUACAUUGAUCAUGACUCGCAGAUGAACCCUAUUGACUUUCAGGUCACUAGGUCAAAGGUCACGGUGACUCGGACACAGUUAAAUAGUUUCCGGAUGAUAAUUCAAGAACGCUAAUGCCUAGGAUCAUGAAACUUCAUAGGUACAUUGAUCAUGAUUCGCAGAUGACCCCUAUUGAUUUUCAGGCCACUAGGUAAAAGAUCAAGGUCACGGUGACUCAACUUAGAAAAAUGGUUUCCGGAUGAUAACUCAAUAACGCUUACGACAAGGAUCAUGAAACUUCAUAGGUACAUUGAUCAUGACUCGCAGAUGAACCCUAUUGAUUUUCAGGUCACUAGGUCAAAGGUCAAGGUCACAGUGACAAAAAACGUAUUUACACCAUGGCUGCCACUACAACUGACCGCCCAUAUGGAGGGCAUGCAUGUUUUACAAACAGCCCUUGUUUCUUAUUAAUAACGAGUUAUCAUUGUUUCGGAUUGUUUAUUAAUUGUGUGAGCUUUUUGUUGCUUAUAUUGUAUAAUACCAAAGAUUAUUAAACAACAUUCAAUAGUUAAA